GUUAUAUGGUCAAGUGAAGAAGCGCAUACGGUGGAUGCCUUGGCAGUCAGAGGCGAUGAAAGACGUGGUAGCCUGCGAAAAGCUUCGGGGAGUCGGCAAACAGACUUUGAUCCGGAGAUCUCUGAAUGGGGGAACCCACCUAGGAUAACCUAGGUAUCUUGUACUGAAUCCAUAGGUGCAAGAGGCGAACCAGGGGAACUGAAACAUCUAAGUACCCUGAGGAAAAGAAAUCAACCGAGAUUCCCUUAGUAGUGGCGAGCGAACGGGGAUUAGCCCUUAAGCUUCAUUGAUUUUAGCGGAACGCUCUGGAAAGUGCGGCCAUAGUGGGUGAUAGCCCCGUACGCGAAAGGAUCUUUGAAGUGAAAUCGAGUAGGACGGAGCACGAGAAACUUUGUCUGAACAUGGGGGGACCAUCCUCCAAGGCUAAAUACUACUGACUGACCGAUAGUGAACCAGUACCGUGAGGGAAAGGCGAAAAGAACCCCGGAGAGGGGAGUGAAAUAGAACCUGAAACCGUAUGCGUACAAGCAGUGGGAGCCUACUUGUUAGGUGACUGCGUACCUUUUGUAUAAUGGGUCAGCGACUUAUAUUCAGUGGCAAGCUUAACCGUAUAGGGUAGGCGUAGCGAAAGCGAGUCUUAAUAGGGCGUUUAG
RNAcentral lists this ribosomal RNA (653 nucleotides) under Streptomyces sp. CS159. Its description in RNAcentral is "bacterial LSU rRNA". It matches the Rfam family "Bacterial large subunit ribosomal RNA", at positions 1 to 699 of the family's 2925-position model. Lineage: Bacteria; Bacillati; Actinomycetota; Actinomycetes; Kitasatosporales; Streptomycetaceae. The record is from RNAcentral.